This is a long non-coding RNA of Panicum virgatum (switchgrass), 2286 nucleotides long. RefSeq lists it as uncharacterized. The transcript is spliced from 2 exons. The record is from RefSeq and is a predicted model, not a curated record. NCBI's taxonomy places the organism in Eukaryota, Viridiplantae, Streptophyta, Magnoliopsida, Poales, Poaceae.
AAUUGGGUCUUUCGGCCCAAUUAGAUCUUGACCGAGGUCAAUAAUUCCAUUACAGCUCGCUGACUUUGGCCCUGUUGUCGUCGGUGAGGUCGCCGGAGCAGUUGUCGUGGUCCGUGGCUUCCUUCCCCGUCGGUUGCUAUUUGUUUGCCUGCGUGUUGUUUGCUUCAAUUCCAGCUCCAGAUCAUAUCAUAAAAUGAACUGUUAAGGGUCUUAAUAUUAGCCUAAAACUAUGCUUUUCAUUCGCUGUCAGAUUAUAGAAAGCGCAAAUUUCAAAUCCUGUCAUGAGAGCUCGCAAACAUGUAAACCUCACAACCUGUUGGGGCCUCAGAGGCGGACCGCCGGCAGGCGCAGCCGUGCGGAGGUGGGGCUUCGGGGGAGCGCAUGGAGAAAUCCAUGCUUGGUUUCACGCUGAUUGGCAAUGGCGAUAUUGACUUCUCCUCGUACCUAUCAAGGCGGUAAUUGACGAGCAGUGACCAUCCGAACAACAAGUUUCUAACCAAACGAAUGAUGUGAUGCAUUGAUGUUGCGUGAAAACUUUACAAGGAUGAAGUGGAACGACGAAGAAGAAUAUUGAAGCUUAGUCUUCCAGAUUUUCUUUGUUUUAUAGCUUUAUUUCUUGUUUUGUGUGAAAUUUCUCAUUUGAGGUUUAGAGUCUAAAACUCUUGUAACAUUUGGCUAUAGAUAUUCACUUGUGACUGUUCAAAGGCUGGGAUUUUCCUAUACGUAAACCUCGUAACCGUAAAUCACAGGAGCACAUGACAACAAAUGCCUCUCCCGGCAAACAUGUAUUAUUAUUCAGCCAUCAUUGCUGUAGUUAUCGCAACCAGUUCACUUGGUUAGCGUUUAUGCUUGCUUACAUAGGAAGUGACAGACGUGUCCUGUUCAGACAGUACACCAGGAAAAAAAACAUAAAACAGCAAUAGAACUGUAGAUAAACGAGGGAUUUUACUUAGGUUGUCUACAGGACACUCUUAAAACGUUAUUUUGUGCGCUGCACACUCCAUUGUAAGCAAAAUGACCUUAUUCAUAUGCAAUUGGACAGGAAACUUUCAGAGGCUUGCACAAAAACUCAGCUCUCCUUAAGGAGCCACUAAAGAAUCUUCAUAUGAAGCAAAGAGGUGAGAAAUACUAGGGAAGGAGGGGAAAAUGAGAAACUAUUCAAGAAACUGCUUCCAUCCAUGGUUGGUAAAGAUCUAUCCUAGAGGGUAUUAGAAGGUUUUAUUGUAUAUGCUGUAUGUUGUAAUGGCUGUCAUGGUUUUGGUACUAUGUGAAGCUUGAUACGUUUUGAAGGUCAAAAUGAAGCGCAUCUUGCCUUCCAGCACACCAUUCGUCAUGCAUGUUGAUCUGGUACAUAUUUCUUCUCCAGUUACACCUUGUACCAUCAAUGCCCCUAAUGAGCAAACUUGGGAAUGUUACAUAUUUCUUUCCCAUAUGAUGCCUAGUGACACUAAUAAAAAGAUUGAAAUAUUUGAGCUGUACUCACAAAUAAAUUACAAAGGUAAUAACUUUUUAUACAUUGUGCCUGUCGCCCAUUGCAAUUUGCAAAAUUACUUCUGCUUCUAACUUUUUCGUUGCUAGAAGAAUUGGUUAUUCCUUUGAAAUCUUGACCCUACCCUGUUCUUGUGAACUCUAGAAAUUAGGAAAUCUGUUAUAAGCAUUCAUGAACUGUAUGUGUAUACCUUUUUCAUUGCCAUGAUCAUGAUGGAAAAUAAGGAUACAUACUAAACUCAAACAAUGGACAUCUUCAUUCAAGUAAUAACAUAAUAUAAAAAAAAAGACUCGACCAUGUGGGGAACAUUUUCCCCUGGGUUUGCCUCAAGAGAUGGCCAGAUGGGAGUACGGAACCCUUUAGGGAGGUAGUCACAAGCUACGGGGACCUGAGUUUGAGCUUAGGUGGGCAAAGCUUUCAACUUGGGGGCUCUACCAACUGAGCUAUCAAUUUUUUUUCUCUGUACUUAUGCAAAAUAAUUGGCUGGGAGGAAGGAAAGGGAUCGCACGGUCGUUGCUGCCUCUGUACAAUGGGUCUUACAGAAGCUCCAAUCGUCCAAGAACAGACAGAUCCACCAAGUACACACAAACAAGAGCGUGUUCAUACUUAACCUGUUGGCUGGCGUGAUUUUAUCAGUGGUCCCAGCCAACGGAUAACAGAUUCAUUUAACUCCACAUGGCAAUGCGAAAAUGAGCAUCCUGGAGGCACCCUGUAAGCUUCUGUUGUAAAUAUGUAAUCCAAACAGAGUAAUUAUGCUCAGAGGUACUCAUACAGCUCAAUUGCAUUCUUUAUAGUAA